RNAcentral lists this transfer RNA (73 nucleotides) under Christisonia kwangtungensis. RNAcentral describes it as "tRNA-Leu". It matches the Rfam family "tRNA". Rfam says of the family: Transfer RNA (tRNA) molecules are approximately 80 nucleotides in length. Their secondary structure includes four short double-helical elements and three loops (D, anti-codon, and T loops). The record is from RNAcentral. Lineage: Eukaryota; Viridiplantae; Streptophyta; Magnoliopsida; Lamiales; Orobanchaceae.
GGGGGUAUGGCAAAAUCGGUAGACGCUACGGACUUAAUUUAAAAAUCGUGAGGGUUCAAGUCCCUCUAUCCCC